Alexandromys fortis (reed vole) is the source of this 321-nucleotide long non-coding RNA. RefSeq lists it as uncharacterized. The transcript has 4 exons. Lineage: Eukaryota; Metazoa; Chordata; Mammalia; Rodentia; Cricetidae. The record is from RefSeq and is a predicted model, not a curated record.
AGCAGUCUGGGAGUGCAAUACAUGCUGAUUUUCUCAAAGUCAGAUGAUGGCAGACUGACCAGGGACACAAAUUUAGUGUCUCUCCUGUGAAUACAAGUGAUUCUAUAGGCAAGAACUUGCCUAUCAGCCACAGAAUAGAGACUAGCUCUUGAGAGUCAAGAGCCCUUUCCCUUUGCUACUCUAACUGAGGAGCCAGAUCCCGAGGGAGCAGUACUGAUCUGGGAGUGAGGCCUACCUGGGCUUCAGAAGUCAAUCAUCAAUUGAGUUGCUGGAGACUUCAGUCUCAGACAUCCUCCGCUGUGCUGUCUCCUUGAGACUGCG